Molecule: long non-coding RNA, 1172 nt
Filed under: Marmota monax (woodchuck)
Lineage: Eukaryota; Metazoa; Chordata; Mammalia; Rodentia; Sciuridae
Source: RNAcentral
GUGUCCCCAGCCCACACUGAGGGUUGUGUUGUAGUUACCUAAAGUAAUAGCACCACAAUGCUAGAAACAAUCACAUGAGAUUCCCUCACAGCAAAUCCAGCAUUCGUUAAGCCCCUAAGUGAUAAUCCCGACAGAAGUUUGGUGGGCAGAAAUGGAAAAUUCAUAUGCAAACAAAUACCUACUCCAAUAAUAACAAAAAUGUUGCCCCUUCCUGAUAAAGAGUCUGACAUAAUCAGGCUGCCAGGCCAGUGUUCCACUGGGCCCCCGGCACUAUGGUACCCCAUGAAGGGCUCAAGGUUAGUCGAGGAUUGAAUUCUCAGCAGCGGUGUGGCCAGGUCAAGCUCAGGAGGGAAAGUCCACGUCUGAUUUUAAUUCUGCCACCAUGGUGAUAUUCAUACCUUAAUGGAGAAAACAUCAGGAUUGGUGGGAAGAAUCUGGUUGACAUUCGUAGAACAAGAUACUCGCGUCACUCUUUGGGAUCCUCUUGCCCUGCAGAGACCUUUGGGAGAACCCUAUCGUGGAACAAAUGUAUUUUCAUAUCCUGGAUCCAUGAUCUGAAUCCACUCCUAUAUGUUUUCCCCAAAACUUCUGGUCACAGAUCCUUCAGUUUUAUUCCUACCAAGUCCCUAUUUGUCAGAAACCACUGGCCAUUGUCCAUGAGUUGGCUUGGACCCAGAUCUCAGGUCAUUUCUCUUCCAGAUAAAGUACACCAUGAAAAGUGGCACUCCAAGCUCUGCACAAUGGGAGGAUUUCCCCUCUCCCAGUCUGCAGGCCACCCUCAGCAGAGCUGAAACAGCAGUCUGCUUACCGCACAGAUCCACCGUCGGCCAGGUUCCCUUCGGCCAAGAAUGAAGGCGGGGUAGGCUGUCCUUGAGAUGGGCUCCCCAGUUUCCUAGGAGGUGCUGGGUCCUGGAAUGGAGGAGGCCAAGGAGCGAACUUGGCCACCGCGGGCCGAGUAGCCCUGACACUAUAAAGGUCACAGCCAGAGGAGCAUCGGCGAGCUGGCCCGCAGGAGCUCUGCAAGGGUGGCUCGACUGCCACCCUUAGGAGCAGCCUGGAGAGGCAGGUCAGUAAACUCCUUGACCUGUGGGAUACAUGUACGGAUGUACAUGCCUGUACCAGCCUGACUUGGAUCCCUGUAGCAGAAAAUUCAGACCAGAAUUAACCCAAAG